This is a long non-coding RNA of Haliotis rubra (blacklip abalone), 1356 nucleotides long. RefSeq lists it as uncharacterized. The record is from RefSeq and is a predicted model, not a curated record. The transcript is spliced from 2 exons. Lineage: Eukaryota; Metazoa; Mollusca; Gastropoda; Lepetellida; Haliotidae.
UACAGCAGUAACCGCUACCUGCACGACUGUUGAUAACAGUUGAGUCAUGGUGAUAUAAUGAUUGGGAACAAAGUCUAAUCACAACUCCCGAAAACAGUUAUUCGACGCUGUGCAGGCGACUACACGGGGAAGUGCGCUAGGUAAACUCCAGGAUUUGUCUGUUGUUCCAUUCAGUCUUACACUGACAGGCUAUGCAGUAAACUACAGGGCAAAAUGUCAUCUCGGAUACUGAAGACCAUUUGGGGGACCGUGGCUGUACUGUUGAGGUUUGUGACGAUAGUCACUCUCGCUAACAUCGGAAGAAUAUUUCCUCCGGUCAAACGACUGUUUAUUAAUUUUCUAGACAAUGGCCUAGCCGAUACCUCGGUGAAUGGAACCGACGUGUACGAGUCGAUCCUCAAGGUGAAAAACUGGAAACUGAUUCUAGAAGAAUGGUUACUGGAUGCAGGCUCCCAUCCUGAAGAGAAGUGUAGAGCCCCCGACGCAGUUGUCUGGUCAGCAGACGGCAAAACCAAACAUCGUCUGCUGGACUUCAUGAAGAAGGGGCGCCCUCUGGUUCUCAACUUUGGAAGCUGUAGCUGACCUCCCUUUAUGGCCAAACUGGCCAAGUUCAACGACAUUGUUCAAAAGUAUGGACAUAUCGCUGACUUUCUUCUUAUUUACAUACAGGAAGCCCACCCAACCGACGGAUGGAAUUUGAAUAAUAAUAAGUACCAAAUUGGAACCCCUCAAAGUAUGGACGACCGAGUAGAGGCGGCCGAGAUGCUAAGUGACGAGGAUUUAAGAUGCCCCCUAAUUCUGGAUGACUUAACAGAUAAUGCUUGCAAGAAGUACCUUUCCCUCCCAGAGCGGCUGUACAUUAUCCAAGAUGGCGUGAUUGUGUUAGCUGGAGGAAGAGGGCCGGGCAAAUACAGUACACAAAUAGUGGACGACUGGCUCAGCGCCUACAGAGGGCGCUAGUUGAAACAUGCGCAGUCCUACAUAUAUAGACAGCAUAUAUCGUCUAUACCAUUGUUGAUUAUGCUUGGCGGCGUGGAUCAUUGGAGGUCCGACAUAGUGUGGUUCUUCAGACUGCCUACAGGCCGCUCGGUAAUCGAACGUCUGGACUCUGAACCGAACAUAUUUUACAGAAAAUACAGUUCCUAAAUUAUAUACAUAAAAUAAUAUGAAUAGAAAACUGAAACUGAAGUAAUCUAGACUUGCCACAUAUUCUAGACUUGCAUUGGUAGAUUUGUUUCAGAGUCUGUAUGACAGACUAGCCGCUCGGAUAUCUUUGGAAUAUUGGUAACUGCGGUGUCAUACACUCAGCAAUAAGACUGCAGUUUAAACAAUACCUAUUAUGCAGGCUUCAUGAAC